Molecule: long non-coding RNA, 1221 nt
Organism: Ipomoea triloba (trilobed morning glory)
Lineage: Eukaryota; Viridiplantae; Streptophyta; Magnoliopsida; Solanales; Convolvulaceae
Exons: 2
Source: RefSeq, a predicted model, not a curated record
CUCAUCCUUAAUCAUCCGCAGCCAUUGAGAGAGAGUUACCGUAAACAGAGAGAGACGCGGAGAGAGGUCGCCGGCCAGAGCCCGCCGUUUGCGCCACCGACGGCCAGAGUCCGCCGUUUGCGCCAUCGCCGGCCAGACGCGGAGAGAGGUCGCCGCCAACGUUCACCGCAACCGACUCCGUCACAAUGCAAACGCCGUCACCACCCGUCAUCCCUUCUGGUCGCAACGCCAGCCCCACCUCCGCCAAGCCAGCCGCCGUCGCCGAUCGAAGGAUCCGUCAUCACCGGUCAAAGGCCCGCCAUCGCCGGCGUCUGCCGUUGCAGCCGCCAUCGCCGGUGUCGAAGCGUCGUUCGCCGCUGUCCUCAUCAACAAAUCGCAGUCGGGAAGCCCAGCCUCGCCACCGCCUCCUCCAUCGUCCGUCGCCGGUGCUGCCUGAAGGAGGAGGGAAGCAGCGACGCCGCCGGAAAACCAGCUUCGCCGCCGCAACCGUGGCCGUAUCCCUUCGCCGGACAUCUUCAUUGUUGCCGUAAAAAAUGGAUAGCCAUCCGUUGCAUCUCUCAUUCCGUGGUCUCAAUUCUCCAGUCACAACCACCCCAGGAUGCUUGAUUAUUACCCUCGGCGGAGGCUCAUUGCGGAAAGGAAAACGAAAACAAUUCGAAGAACAAAAUAUGCACCAAUCAGUAACAUAUCCAGACUCAAAACUCUCUUGUCCUGCCCAAUAGAAUGUAGACUGAAGUUGUAGAGGGUGACAUGCAAUCCAAGCCUAAUUCAGAAACCUGUGGUGUGCAUUUUUGCAUGAAGCUGGGAAUUCACCUGAAUGUGAAGUAUGUACAGAAUGAGUUGUAGAUUACUGAAGUACUGUGGAAUCAUACAUUAUGGAGGCAUCUGAUGCAAGAAGUUGAGGGACAACGAAGCAAACCAGAGAUGACAUGGCUUCGUUUGGACCGCAGCGCUAAACGGUAUUAUCUUCGCACUGGGCCAUAAGUUCUGAUUUUGUGGGUCUAUAUCACAUCACCAACUUGGUUUAUUGCACUAGUUUUCACAUGCCUAAACUUUAAUGCAUAAAAUUUUGAAGAAAAAAUAUUACUUAUACUCUCAAUUUCUACUCUUAAUUUUUACUCUUUCUUACAAAUCUUAGAUGUAGACAACUUUUCUUGGACCCACAAGAUGAAAUAUAUUCUAUCCAUGCUUUCCAUAUGAGAGAGUAUAAUUGAUAGAGUA